AUUGAACGCUGGCGGCAUGCUUUACACAUGCAAGUCGAACGGUAACAGGCCGGUAGGUGCUGUCGCGUGGCGAACGGGUGAGUAAUGCAUCGGAACAUGCCCAGUCGUGGGGGGUAUCUCCUCUCGAGAGUAGCUAAUACCGCAUACGAUCUAUGGAGGAAAACGGGGGGCCGCAAGGCCCCGCGCGCUUGGAGCGGCCGAUGUCAGAUUAGCUAGUUGGUGGGGUAAAGGCUCACCAAGCCAACGAUCUGUAGCUGGUCUGAGAGGAUGACCAGCCACACUGGGACUGAGACACGGCCCAGACUCCUACGGGAGGCAGCAGUGGGGAAUUUUGGACAAUGGGGGCAAGCCUGAUCCAGCCAUGCCGCGUGCGUGAAGAAGGCCUUCGGGUUGUAAAGUGCUUUCGGCAGGAACGAAACGGUGAGCUCUAACAUAGCGUGCUAAUGACGGUACCGUAAGAAGAAGCACCGGCUAACUACGUG
This 482-nucleotide ribosomal RNA is filed under the name uncultured bacterium. Its description in RNAcentral is "partial 16S ribosomal RNA". It matches the Rfam family "Bacterial small subunit ribosomal RNA", at positions 30 to 507 of the family's 1533-position model. The record is from RNAcentral.